This 253-nucleotide ribosomal RNA is filed under the name uncultured bacterium. Its description in RNAcentral is "partial 16S ribosomal RNA". It matches the Rfam family "Bacterial small subunit ribosomal RNA", at positions 524 to 776 of the family's 1533-position model. The record is from RNAcentral.
UACGGAGGGUGCGAGCGUUGUUCGGAAUCACUGGGCGUAAAGGGCGUGUAGGCGGUCCGCUAAGUCUGAUGUGAAAGCCCGGGGCUCACCCCCGGAAGUGCAUUGGAAACUGGCGGACUCGAGUCCCGGAGAGGAGACUGGAAUUCAUGGUGUAGCAGUGAAAUGCGUAGAGAUCAUGAGGAAGACCAGUGGCGAAGGCGGGUCUCUGGACAGUUCCUGACACUGAGGCACGAAGGCCAGGGGAGCAAACGGG